UAUAACUACAGACCAUGACCAACAACCCACAUAAAGCGUGUGCAAACACAAGUGAUUAAUGUACCAGGAUUUCAAAACAUCUACAACUAACGAGUCAGAUUUCACAGGGUGCAGGAGAGGGAAGAGGAGCAGAAGGGGAUGGGUGGGAACAGGGAUAUGCGUGGGGGGUAGCAGGGCAAGGGGCUGCUUGCAAGUAAAGGAGGAAUGAGGAACAAUUUGAUGAGUCUUAACAGCCUAUCUCAGGGCACUCCUGUGUGCUGCCUCACUGGGGCACAAUCCUUUGGUGGUAACCACAUCCUCAAAUGGUCACCGAAGAGAUGCAGGGAUAAUGGGUUACAAAGACAGACAUUAAUAAGGUGGAGAGUCCUCUUGUGCACAAUGGCCAACACAAAAUGCAUGAAGUGCUGAAACAUCUCCAUCUCAGUCUGAAGCUGACCCUGGGGACUCCCAGCUAUAGAGCAUGGCUGUGGGAGAAGUUAUCACUUACCAACCCAUCUGAAAUCCCAGAACUUGUAGGCUAUAUUGGACAACUGUGGUUUGAUGCUUUACAUCAUCCUUUGGAACAACACAAGGUAGCACAUACCAAAUGAUGAAAUCAAAUAGACUUUUUUUUUUUUUAAAUGUAUUGUUUUUCUUGUAUUUCUGUAUUUCCUCCCUAAGCAAAUAAUACCCUAGUGAGGAAUGAGAAAGAACACAGAAUUUGCAACUGUG
Molecule: long non-coding RNA, 711 nt
Filed under: Anas platyrhynchos platyrhynchos (common mallard)
Lineage: Eukaryota; Metazoa; Chordata; Aves; Anseriformes; Anatidae
Description: lncRNA (ENSAPLG00000022029.1)
Source: RNAcentral